Long non-coding RNA from Gymnogyps californianus (California condor), 377 nucleotides. RefSeq lists it as uncharacterized. Lineage: Eukaryota; Metazoa; Chordata; Aves; Accipitriformes; Cathartidae. The transcript is spliced from 3 exons. The record is from RefSeq and is a predicted model, not a curated record.
GUGUAAGAGGGCUCUGGUGCUGGAGCUGGUCCCACCAAGGCUGCCUGCCACCUUUCCUUCUCUGAUUCCUGUCUCUGAAAUACUCUUCAGCUGGAGGUGCUGUAAAAAGGUUGCGAAAACAAGUCCUCCUAUAAAGUCGCCAACCCAAGAAGGCUGAGAAAUGUUAUGAUAAAUGGCUUUAGCAGAGGCUUCGGAGAGAAAAAGAAAAAAAAAUCUAAUUACUGAAACAUGCAGGCCCAAACCAGAAGUGAUAAAUGAAGAAAUCAGCUUGAUGCAUCUCGCAAAAGAUGAGCUCACAUACCUUGGCUUUAGGAGCUGGUAUUGCUGCAUAUCUACUCUCAAUUAAAUUGACUUCUUCUCUGAUUAAACCUGUUCAA